AUAUUGGACAAUGGGUGCAAGCCUGAUCCAGCCAUCCCGCGUGAAGGACGACUGCCCUAUGGGUUGUAAACUUCUUUUGUAUAGGGAUAAACCUACUCACGUGUGAGUAGCUGAAGGUACUAUACGAAUAAGCACCGGCUAACUCCGUGCCAGCAGCCGCGGUAAUACGGAGGGUGCAAGCGUUAUCCGGAUCUAUUGGGUGUAAAAGGUCCGUAGGCGGAACUGUAAGUCAGUGGUGAAAUCUUGCAGCUUAACUGUGAAACUGCCAUAGAUACUGCAGGUCUUGAGUGUAUUUGAAGUAGCUGGAAUAAGUAGUGUAGCGGUGAAAUGCAUAGAUAUUACUUAGAACACCAA
This 354-nucleotide ribosomal RNA is filed under the name uncultured Chryseobacterium sp. Its description in RNAcentral is "bacterial SSU rRNA". It matches the Rfam family "Bacterial small subunit ribosomal RNA", at positions 361 to 712 of the family's 1533-position model. Lineage: Bacteria; Pseudomonadati; Bacteroidota; Flavobacteriia; Flavobacteriales; Weeksellaceae. The record is from RNAcentral.